UUAAGCUAUAAAGAGCGCAGGGUGGAUGCCUUGGCACUAAGAGCCGAUGAAAGACGUGAUAAGCUGCGAAAAGCUUCGGGGAGGAGCAAAUAUCCUUUGAUCCGGAGAUAUCUGAAUGGGGAAACCUGGCUGAGCAAACCUCAGUCGGCGUAUGGUGAAUACAUAGCCAUACGUUGGGAACCCGCUGAACUGAAACAUCUAAGUAGGCGGAGGAAAAGAAAGAAAACUCGAUUUCCAAAGUAGCGGCGAGCGAAAUGGAAGGAGCCUAAACCGGCGUGCGUGCAUGCCGGGGUUAUGGACUGCAUAAAGCGAGGAGAUUCAUUAACAGAACGGUCCUGGAAAGACCGGCCACAGAGGGUGAAAGCCCCGUAUGUGAAAAUGAUAUCCAGUGAGCAGGAUCCAAAGUACCACGAGACACGAGAAACCUUGUGGGAAUUCGGGGGGACCACCCCCCAAGGCUAAAUACUCCUUAGUGACCGAUAGCGCAUAGUACUGUGAAGGAAAGGUGAAAAGGACCCCGGGAGGGGAGUGAAAAAGAACCUGAAACCCUGUGUUUACAAGCUGUGGAACCACAUUUUAGGUGGAACCGCGUACUUUUUGUAGAACGGUCCGGCGAGUUGCCGGGACUGGCAAGGUUAAGCACUGAAGGUGUGGAGCCGAAGGGAAACCAAGUCUUAAUAGGGCGCAGAGUCAGUUCAGGCAGACCCGAAACCGGGUGAUCUACCCAUGUCCAGGUUGAAGUUUCCGUAAAAGGAAAUGGAGGACCGAACGCACAUCCGUUGAAAAGGGUGGCGAUGAGGUGUGGGUAGGGGAGAAAUUCCAAUCGAACCCGGAGAUAGCUGGUUCUCCUCGAAAUAGCUUUAGGGCUAGCCUCGUAUUAGUUUAGCGGAGGUAGAGCACUGAAUUCUUAAGGGGGCGUCAAAGCUUACCAAGAGAUAUCAAACUCCGAAUGCCGCAUAAAUGAUGUACGGGAGUCAGACUGCACGAGAUAAGUUGGGUAGUCAAAAGGGAAAGAGCCCAGACCUACAGCUAAGGUCCCAAAGUGUGUGUUAAGUGGAAAAGGAUGUGGGAUUUCAAAGACAACUAGGAUGUUGGCUCAGAAGCAGCCACACAUUCAAAGAGUGCGUAAUAGCUCACUAGUCGAGAGGUCCUGCGCCGAAAAUGUCCGGGGCUGAAACACAACACCGAAGCUUAGGAAUUGACGUAAGUCAAUUGGUAGAGGAGCAUUCUUAACUGCGGAGAAGCGUUACCGUAAGGAGGCGUGGAGUGUUAAGAAGAGAGAAUGCCGGAAUGAGUAGCGAGAUGGAGGUGGGAAUCCUCCAGGCCGAAUAUCUAAGGUUUCCAGAGUAAAGCUGAUCUGCUCUGGGUAAGUCGGGGCCUAAGGCGAGGUCGAAAGACGUAGUCGAUGGACAACAGGUUGAAAUUCCUGUACCGCGUAUUAUCAGAACUGUGGGGACACAGAACCGAAGCCAAACCCGGGAAUGAAAAGACCGGGGCAAGCGCCGGACUGGUUAGACUGGAAAAUCCGUUUAACAACAGGAAAGCGUGAUGCGUACCGAACAAAAGUAGGGAAGUUGGUAUAGGGGCUGUCAAGAAAAGCCGCUAUUGUGUAAUACGUGCCCGUACCGUAAACCGACACAGGUGGAUGAGGAGAGAAUCCUAAGGCCGGCGGGAGAAGCAUUGUUAAGGAACUCGGCAAAAUGACCCUGUAACUUCGGGAUAAAGGGUGCCCACGAGAGUGGGCCGCAGAGAAUAGGCUCAAGCAACUGUUUAGCAAAAACACAGGUCUAUGCAAAACCGAAAGGUGAGGUAUAUGGGCUGACGCCUGCCCGGUGCUGGAAGGUUAAGGGGAGAGGUUAGCGCAAGCGAAGCUUUGAACUUAAGCCCCAGUAAACGGCGGCCGUAACUAUAACGGUCCUAAGGUAGCGAAAUUCCUUGUCGGGUAAGUUCCGACCCGCACGAAAGGCGUAAUGAUUUGGGCACUGUCUCAACAAUGCACCCGGUGAAAUUGAAGUACCAGUGAAGAUGCUGGUUACCUGCGCCAGGACGGAAAGACCCCAUGGAGCUUUACUC
Molecule: ribosomal RNA, 2073 nt
Filed under: human gut metagenome
Description: bacterial LSU rRNA
Rfam family: Bacterial large subunit ribosomal RNA
Source: RNAcentral